Molecule: transfer RNA, 87 nt
Filed under: Rubrobacter xylanophilus
Lineage: Bacteria; Bacillati; Actinomycetota; Rubrobacteria; Rubrobacterales; Rubrobacteraceae
Description: tRNA-Ser
Rfam family: tRNA
About the family: Transfer RNA (tRNA) molecules are approximately 80 nucleotides in length.
Source: RNAcentral
GGGGGUAUGGCAGAGCGGACGAAUGCGCCGGUCUUGAAAACCGGAGGCGCGCAAGCGCCCGUAGGUUCGAAUCCUACUGCCCCCGCC